GUCCAGAUACACACAAAGAACCUACAAAAAGCAUGAAAUUAGGAGAAACAGAAUCAUUACUCUUUAGAAAUAGUGGGUCCAUGGUUUAUAAAUGUAAAAGUAGAGUGUUAGAACUAGGGCUUAUCCAUGCAGUCAAGCCUUUGAUGUUACACUUGAGGAAACUGCACUCAGAGAUGAAGGGACAGGGUGAAGUUGAUAGGCAGCCAAGUGAGGACUUGAACAUAUGCUUCUUUUUUUGGGUAAGAUAAUGGAGAACACAAGAAUUGAGUAUUGACUUUGCUGACUUUAUCAUUCAUUUGGGACAUAUCUAUUCAGAAGAACCACAUAACAAGAACCACAAUAAAAAUAUCAAUUCUUUCUCAACUCUCAUUGGCUUCCAAAAAAUGCAAAGUCAAACUUGUAUUUUAAGAUGUUAUCUUCCAUUUAAACAUUCUUUCUCCUUUUCAUUUUAUUGUUUUCAUAUAGUUUAAAUCUUUGCAGAAGGUUCUUUGAAUUUCUGGCAGCCAAAACCAGCUGUGUUUGCUAGUGAGGGUGGAGAUAGAAACAAUAUUUACUAGCAAACCCAAGAUGAGACUUGAGAGGGAAACAUAUCAAUUGGCAGUAAUGGAAAGAAGAGGAUUUGCUAAUGUAGAACUGUUUUGGAACUCUGACACUUAUUUUACCCUUGACCAAGGAGGUCCAAAUUCACAUAUUGUAAGAGGGGAGGGACCAUUUUGUGUUCAUUUCUAAUGAAGGACUAAAAAGAGGCACAGGGAGGAAUGCCUACACUUGUGCUUAAAUUGAGGCAUCAAUAGUUAUCUAUUCUUUUCCAUGCACAGUGGGAAAUGCAUUGGCACUGAAGUCAGAGAAAACCGAACUCAACUCCUGUGUCCUCCACUUGCAGAUAAUUUUCUAUUUCAUAGUUUCCUCAUCUAUAAAGUGAAGAACUCCUGGUAAUCUGCCAAGGAUAAUGACGUUUGCCACUUUUGAUCAAUGCUCUCCUAUAGAACAACUUGUUCAGACUCUCGCCAGGAAAAGAAAAAACUUAUUAAACGGAUUACAACACAUUUGUUGUAUGUCGAGUACCAAACUGAGCUGAGAUCAGACAGUGUGAUAAUGUCAUGAUUCAUCUUUUAACUCAGAAAUAAAGAAUACUCAAAUACA
Long non-coding RNA from Felis catus (domestic cat), 1143 nucleotides. RefSeq lists it as uncharacterized. NCBI's taxonomy places the organism in Eukaryota, Metazoa, Chordata, Mammalia, Carnivora, Felidae. The record is from RefSeq and is a predicted model, not a curated record. The transcript is spliced from 2 exons.